GUCCUAUCUCUCCUGAACUGAAACACAAUAAAUUGUGUUUCAGUUCAGGAGAGAUAGGAC
Molecule: microRNA precursor, 60 nt
Filed under: Xyrichtys novacula (pearly razorfish)
Lineage: Eukaryota; Metazoa; Chordata; Actinopteri; Labriformes; Labridae
Source: RNAcentral